This 224-nucleotide long non-coding RNA is filed under the name Capsicum annuum. RNAcentral's name for it is "long non-coding RNA (CANN_LNC002345)". The record is from RNAcentral. Lineage: Eukaryota; Viridiplantae; Streptophyta; Magnoliopsida; Solanales; Solanaceae.
GGCCUAUAUUAUUGAUAUUUUUGGAUAUUUUUCUAUUUAAUUUUGACAUUUUUUAUUUUUAUUUGUUUUGUAAUAUUUAGGCACUCUAAUGGUGUCCACAUUGUAAUGGAUUAGUUAUUUUUUCCUUAGAUUUCUUUUUUUCAUUUGUUUAACUAUGGAAAUAUCACACGAUCUUUUCCCUAUAAUAGAUUGAGUGACGACAUUCUUAAGGGGAAAUCAUAUUG